Molecule: microRNA precursor, 79 nt
Filed under: Tursiops truncatus (common bottlenose dolphin)
Lineage: Eukaryota; Metazoa; Chordata; Mammalia; Artiodactyla; Delphinidae
Also listed under: 1 other name
Source: RNAcentral
GUGCUUAAAGAAUGGUUGUCCGUAGUAUGGUCUCUGUAUUCAUGGUGAUUAACAUCGGACAACCAUUGUUUUAGUAUCC